Pelobates cultripes (western spadefoot toad) is the source of this 312-nucleotide non-coding RNA. Lineage: Eukaryota; Metazoa; Chordata; Amphibia; Anura; Pelobatidae. The record is from the annotation of a GenBank genome assembly.
CAAACAGUCAGACACAAACAGUCAGACACACACACACAUACACACACAAACACACACAGACACACACACAGUCACACACACACACACAGUCAGACACACACACACACAUACACACACAGUCGACACACACACAGACACACACACACAUACACACACACAGUCAGACACAUACACAGACACACACAGUCAGACACAAACACACACACAAACACACACAGACACACACAGUCACAUACAUACACACACACACACACACACAUACACACACAGUCAGACACACACACACACAUACACACACAGUCAGACACAAAC